GUUUUUUUUAAAUCCACAAUUCCCUCAGCUGUAAAGACCCGCAUCCGCUUGCUGCCAGGUUGAGGUAGUAGGUUGUAUAGUUGAGAAUUACACCGUAGGAGAUAACUGUACAACCUUCUAGCUUUCCCUGAGGCAUGCACGACACCGUACAUAGCAGGACAUUUAUCAGCACAAAUUGAAAUGCACAUGAUAGAAAAACAUGUCGGCGAAGCGGACACGAUUGCAAGCAUUUCAAGUCGCUUCCACUGCGCGGUAAUAUUUCACUAUUGUGUUUUGCGAAGUGACGCAACAUUUCGACUUGGAGCAAAUGUGUUGUCAUUUUGCUCUUUGUGGGAUGUCAAACAUUUUGACUCAUGAAACAAAGGGAAGGCUUUUCAUCCAAAUAACGGGCGGGAUCAUGGAGGGGGAAUUGGUGUACAGCCAUUUUGAAGAUCGUUCAGUUCCUGGAAAAUAAUUGACUCAAUAUGUAAUGCUUUUUAAAUUAGCACCAACACAGCUAUCAUUGAUCACAAACAAAAAUAAUAUUUUCAGACCACCCUCAACAAACACACAAACACACACAAUUUUAUUAAGAAAUCAUGUCAAACCACAACAAAACACACGUUCUUCAUUUCCACUUCCAGUCUUUUUCCUUCAUACCUACAAUAGCCUUUAAAGAUUAUAAAACCUCUAUUGUUUUAGCAACACAGAACAUUGGAGACGUAAUAAAGCCAAAGUGGCAUUUGCCAGCUUUACUGCAACAGUCUUUGGUUGGCCUGAGUCAAGUCCAGUUGGUUAGAGGAGCAAAAGACUGACCCCUGUUGGUCAACACCGUCAAGCGUACAGUACAAGCGGUAGCUUGCAUCAAAUGUAAGCCUUUUCAAAAGCUUUUAUCCCUUUCAGGGACAGUGGUUACUACAGUGGACAGCUUAUCAUGUUAUUAGGUUACAGCAUGAAAGGGUUAAAAGUGAAAUCAACUGCUUUCCUUGAAUCGGUGCUUAUGUUGUUUGGUUGGAAAAUAGUAACGGCAUUGGAUGUAAGAACAUUUCUCGAAUCUUUUUUGUGGGGAGUGGGGGGGCUGGUGGCGUUAAAUGCACCUAUUGUGAGACGGCGUGACUGUAAUCAUUUUUGUUACUGCAUGUUUUGGUGUUCUUUUAAAAGUUUUUUUUGCACUGCAAUUUGCCAGCAACUAGUCCAGGGUGUGGCCGGCUUAUUGCCCCAAAUCAGCUGGGUUAGGCUCGUGAGGAUAAGUGAAAGAAAAUGAAUGGGUGGAUGACUUUUCAGAGGAUUUUCAGCAGGUUUGAAGUAUUUAUGAUACAGUUCAAUUCAGUGGUUUUUAACCUGGGUUCGAUCGAACCCGAGGGGUUCGGUGAAUCGGUCUCAGGGGUUCGACGGAGCCUCUGCCAUGGAGGGUUACGACACACCCGACUCAACAUGUAAAUUAGUUAUGACACGCCCACUUGGCCAUCACUGGCUGCAGAUGAUCACAUUGCAUUGCUUGUCCAAUCAGUGCUGCGGGAAAUUUAGUUCGCUCAGUCGUCACCGUGUGACGGUCUGAUAGUACGUCAUACAAUUUUUAAAAACCUAUACUUAUGCCAUGUAAUUUUAUUUACUUUUAUUUGUUUUUCAUAAAUGUGUUUUUUUGUCUUGAAUUUGUAAAAAAAAACAUUUUUGUUUUUCAUUAAUGAAGGUUUAGUGAAUGUGCAUAUGAACUGGUUGGGUUCGGUACCGCUAACAAAGUUAAGAACCACUGGUUCAAUUCCUUCCUUCUUCACCAUUUAUUUGUGUCAGGAACCAUAUUUGGCCAACUAACAAAUACUUACAAAAUAAAUGUCGGUCUAACGACACGUGUUUAAAUUCCACAACCCAAAAAUGUCUUGGAAUGUCUCUCUUAACUGCCUUCAGUAUUCCAACUGAGUCUUGGAUAAGGGGUAAUUUCACUUCUUUUGCAAUACAGUAUCAUUCAUAAUUCAUGCUCAAGUCUCACUAUUUUACUGUGUUACAACAUUACAGUUGAUGAUUUCACGUCUCAUUUUGACAUGGAGGCUUUGACCAGUCAGAAAAGUUGCCUUUGGUCAUCUUGUUCCCAGUUGCCAUAGCCAAUAGUCUGAUGACCGUUGCGUCUGAAACAUCUUUUAGAUCGAUUAAUCGUGGCACAUGUCGAUCACUCACGGCCAACAUUUUGUUGUUGUUGUUGUGGGUUUUUUUGACAGCUUCUCUGGCCCGGGCACCAUUGCAUUCAUUGUACACAGUGUCCAGCCCACAUGCUUGUGUUGUGGUGCAGUAUAUCAGACCUGUUAUGUGCGUGUUUGCAGUCCUGCUGCUGUUUUGUCCAGUGUGUGGGAUGUCGUGACAGAACUGGGUCUCCGCUGAUGUGCUAUUUGGCCUGCCCGACUGAUCCUUUGCCAUCAGCAGCAGAUCACAAAUGCUUAGUCGGGACUCAAAUGAAAUCAGUAAAUCAAUGGAAGCUCUCGUCUUCAGUUACCUGAACGCCGCUGAUAUCGUAAUGUUUUUGUUGCUGCUUUUUUUUCGUGAGUUAACAGAAACUACAACAAGUAGGGAUGAAUCCUUUACAUUUUGGUGCUUUAGUAUAAAGGCAAUCGCUUCUAAAUGUGGAAGAGCUGCAGUGAGAAGCCUUUUCCAAGGUCCGACUAUCAAUAAAAGAGUCGAGGUGAUGUGUUGCCUUACGUUAUCCACUUCAUGGAGACUCUGGAAUUUUUAUUUGAUUUAUUUCUUUAUUUUUUGGGUCCAAUAGCAAAAAUAGAACAUGGCGUUCUAUAUUCGCAUUUCAAUCUGUUGCAACCAAAUGAAAUCAAAUCUUGCUAGUUGAUAGCAGUGCAAAUCAUGUUGGAAGGGGUCUUAGAGAAUAGAUGCGAUGCACUCAACACACACGAAAAAAAAUCUUGCUUUGCAAAUUAGUUCAACACAUAAAUAGUCAAAUUUGAAAUAGGAGAAAUGAAUGUUCUUGACCAAUUUCUGGCAUACGAAGAAGGUCAUCUGGAUCUCCUGUAAUUCAGGUUGUCUUGUGCUCAAACACAGCAAUUUAACAUGUGUACGUACGUGUAAUACCCAGUGUGUGUUUCGGUGUGCGUGUGUGCGUACAGGCAUGUGUGACGCUUUGUCUGCUUGCUGCAGGCUCUUACCAUCAAAGCAACUAAUAUUAGCAUGUCACCCAAGACGCGCUCUAUUUGGACACAAAGCGAGUGAUAAAUGUGGGGGAGCUGUCCUGUCUCACUCUUGCUCCAUCUAUCUCCGUGUGUGUGUGCGUGUGUGUGUUGUGUUGGCAAGCACACGCAAAAAUGUGUCAGCAACCAGCGUGAUUUUAAAACGGGUAACGUCAGUGAUUUUUAGCACGAAAGUGAAGUGGACGUGGCAUGGAUCCAGAUGCCAUUUUCUGGUCUUAAAUGCAGCUGCGCGAAGAAGACAGCGCCCUCCUUGGACCCGAGUCGGAGAGCCUUCGAGAUGAGCUCGGAUGCGGCCACACCCAGUCGGUCAGGCAGCCAAGCAGGCAGGACGGACGAGAAGAAUAGAGAAAGGGCAGUGUGAUGCCAAACACUUGUCUUCCUCACUUUGCGAGUCUCUCUUCGUCUCCCUCCAUGGCUGAUUUGAGGCUACAGUUGGUUGUAUGUCACCACUCUCCCUUAUUGCUCCAACUGUCCCUCCACCAUCAUCUCUCCUCUUUCUCUCCUUCCGCUCUUCAUUUCUCUCUCUCGCUCUCUCUCUCCACACCAAAGCCUGGGGGAGCCAGUGGAGAUUAUAUGUAGCCUCUAUAAGCCAAAGCACAUCAUGUUGCAAUGUUUCUGCGGCUCCAUCUCGCUCAUACGCUGUCGGCCUCUCCUUCGGUCUCUGAAGGGAUAAUGGGAUUGAUGUCGGCCCAAAGGAGAACGGAGGGAAAGAAAUAAAGAAGGACAGAAAUAAAGAAAGAAAGAAAGAAAGAAGGAAAGAAAGAAAGAAUGAAAUGUUUUUUUGCAGAAGAGAGUAGAGGAUUUCUUUCAAGGGUGCAUAUCUGACAAUGGCAAGGUGAAAAAAAAACCAAGCCAAGUUCCACCCCCUUCUCCUCCUCCCUCUUUCCUUACCUCUCUCCUUCACUCAUCUAAUAAUGAAAGAAAGAGUGGGCCUCUCGCUGUAACUGAUUACAGCUGUGGGGCAAAUUAAUGGAUAAUAUUCCUUUCUUACUGUUUUUUUUUCAUGUUUGUCCUUCUGCCAAGAAACGUUGAAGGGAGAAAUUAUGAAAAGGGGCUAACAUUUUCAAGACAAAUAUAGUAUGAGGGCGAAAAGAGGGAGGAGUUGUUUGGAGCCCCCCCCCCCCCCCCCCCCCGAGCCGCCGACCACCAACCCACCCCAGAUCGUCUCUUCUCUCCAUUUCUGAUGAAAAAAAGAGAAGAAAAAAAACCAAUGGCAGAAAAUGGCGAGGAAGAGCGAAGCUUGACAAGCGAUCUGUGCAAUCCUGUUACUUGUGUGUAUUGACGUGUGAUCAUAUUUGACUGUGUCCAACCUGCCUGAGGCCUUCAAGUUCAGACACAAAAUUAGUGUUGGCACCGAUGCAAGGAAGGUAAACGAGUGUUUUUGUGCGUGCGUGUGUGUGUGUGUGUGUGCCCCUCCACCUCCCACCUCCACCGCAUACUGGUAUGCUUGACUGGCACUGUGCACCGGCUACGAGCGCUCAUGCGGUUGCUCGAUACUCGCUCAUUUUGACUCCCCUUUUUUCCCCCCCAACGUCUGCCGCUUGUGUAUCACUUCCACCUAUUUUCCAGAAAGAGGAAUUACAUCCCUUCAUCUCCCGCUCUCUCACUCCCUGCGAGUGAGCGAGAGAGAGGCACCAAAGCUAGAGAGGGAGGGAGAGAGAGUGUACACAUGGUCCAUUCCGGCUCGGUCUGGCGCCCAUGUCAUGCGUCUCGUUUUUGCCUCUGCCAUCACUCCCCUUCGUUUUAUCACGGCUGACUGUGAGCAGCCCGCUCGAAAUGAUGGCUCCGCUUUUGGUGACGUCGUUCUUAUUCAAAGCAAACUUCUCUUGAUACGAGCUGGAAUCUCCUCAGUGCGCUGCUGUAACUUUAAAUCUCAGCUCUCUCUCUUUGCCUGUUUUUCUUCUUCCUCCUCUGAGCAGGCGAGUGAGCUCGGAGACGAAAAAGCAGGAGGCUUCCGCUUCAGAAAAAAAGGUCAGUGACUACCAAACGCACUAGCCGCGUUCCCCACUUCCAUCUCAGCUUCCCAUCUGUUUCCUGUGCUUGAGACCACCGAGGUUGAUGAUGGCACCGUAGGGCACGGUGAAUCUGGCUUGCCUGUGCUCAGCGCUUUGCUCAGGAAGCUUUGAUGGAGCACUGAAAGGUUUCAAGCGCUGGUGGUGAACAUGCCAGGCAGCUGCUCGGGUGUAUUUUGGAGAUUUGUGCGGUCCGAGUUCGGGUUCUGACUCUCGGGGAUCAUUGCGGGUUUCAGUCAUCCACAUCGCCGUGACUUAACAUUGUCCGAUGGCGGGGUUCUAGAAUACGUACGAGAUCUUUGGUAUGCCGGAUAGCGGCAGCAGACUCUUUACCUGAUAGAGGGAAGGGCAUUUUUAAAGUGUUGUAUUGUUCAACUGAAGAGGGGGAGGGACAGAGAGGGAAAGUGUUCGCAGGGAGGAAGGGGUGGGGGGUGCAGUCAGGUCAAUGUUGUGUCUGGCGGGCAGUUGCACUUGCUGUUGUAUAGUAUAUGCUCCCAACGUAUAUACAGGGGCAGCAGAAUUGGCGGUCAAUGGAAAAUGAAGAAACGUACACGCGUCAGCGUAAUCGGCAAAGCCGCAUGGCUUUUACUGGCAAAGAAGGCACGCGUGCGAGAGUCAGCGUCGCAAGGCCCCCUUCGUCCUCAUUUGACUUCACAACAAGUUUCCGUUCGCUACCAAAAAGCGGGCGGAGAGCGGUAGGGUAGGAGGCUUUAGAGGACAUGUGUCUCUCUCCGUCCCUGAGACCCUAACUUGUGACGUUGUGCUUUCAUGUCCACGGGUUAGGCUCUCGGGAUCUGAGAGGGGUCCGCGGUCGCCGCCAUCACCGUCCCCGCCUCUCUCCAAACAAUGCCGCUCGAUCGCGACGGUCAUUUUCCGAACGCUUCCCAGUUUGGUCCUCGUGCAAAAGGCGCAAUCACCGCGGCUUUUGCUCUUAUCAGGCUGCUGCACCUUGCGCCAUCCUGCGAAACCGGAGCCAGAUAGCAAUUUAGUCGGCCAUGCUGGGGUGUGCUCGUGCAGGCCCUUGGAGGUGCUUUGACAUUCUCUCCAUCCUUGGUGGUUUGCUCAGAGUGGGCUGCCAUGUGGACAAGUUGGAAUUGAAACAAGGGUUCUACGACUCCAUUUGUUUGUUUGUUUGUUUUUUAUUUCGUGGCAACUUGAAUUGCUUUCCAUUAACUCGUUUACUGUAGUUUGCCAAAUUAUGCAAAGGUGUCAAAUUUAGUUGCAUGAAAUACAUUGAUUAAUAAUGAAUUAAUUGAUUAAUAAAUCAAUCAGAGGCGUGACGGUGACAUUUACAAAUUGUAAUUCUUUAACUAUGCAGGUGUUUGCUAUUACAAAAGCAGAAUUUGAUGCACCUCAAACAGGCAUUUUACACAAGUUGCUCCGCUGAUCCUGAUGAAGAAAUACUUCACAGCUGGUUUAGCGAGAGGAGCAUGUGAAACCUAACGACUGGGUUGCCAUUGUUUCUGAUUCCCGAUUUGUGCAGCAGGCAGAUGUGCGCGUUCACCUGGACGACUUGAGAGCAGCACAGAGUAAUGUUGAGAGCGUGACCAUGACUGCUCUGUACGUUAUGUGCUUGACCUCAGCCAACCUUCUGCACCAUUCAAGACCACAAAAAUGAACUGACACACGCCCACUAGCAUGGCGCCACCGUUUGCGUAGCAUUUUUUUUUCGUUGACAUUCACGCAGUAUUUUUGUUCGACUCUCGUGUUCGAUUUCUAUUCAGAGCUGAUUGACCACACCGCAGCUAUUUUAUCUCACUGGCAAUAAUAUCAAGACAGUAAUGUGAUUAACUAAAUGACCAUUCAGUUUAGCUUGUCUUUGACUUUUUUUGUUUGGUUGACGUUUUGCAGCUCGAUUUUGCAAUCUGUGUCCAGAUAAUCAUGUCCAGAGAUGAUUUUUAUUUAUUUUUUUGGCACGAGUAUGGAACAUAAGACUACAGCUGGCGCUUGAAAUUCUUUUAACCAUGAAAAUUAAUUUAGGCCUUUUCCAGUAUUGCUUUUCAGUUUAUUUGUCCUCAUCUUUCUCCCUAAGGGGAAAUUUUCUUGGCUAGGAAGGUGUACUCAGGCAAAACAGUAAUAUUUAUAUCCUUAAUCUAAUAAAACCCAAUAGAAAAGCUGCCAGAUUUGAUUUCCAUUCACUCGGUAAGAGAUGCCUUUUCAGAUUGCAUUUAGUCCUGUCGUCCUGCUCCGACGCAUUCCACUGCAAGCGAUAUUCGACACAGCUCCUCUACCGGAGUUGAUGAUUGCAGGUGUACCUAAUGUUUUGGCCCGUGAGUGUAUCCGAUGCUCCAACAUGAACACACUUCAAAGUGGAAUUCCGAGAGAGAUUUCUGUCCUGUUGUUAAUUAACAAAUAUGGAUUUUAACUUCAACCCCCACUGUGCUGAUAAUCUGCCGCUUUAGCAACUCUCUUAUGUAAUGCUUUUGAAAGCCUCAUCUCUCCUUUUCCCACCGCCCCUCUGCUUCCAAAUUGUAUUUUUGUUUUUUUUUCUUCAGCUUUGUGCACAAUUUUUUUUAUAUUUUUUUACCUGAAGCGACUUUAGGGUGUCGCUUGAUAAGCUUGGAUGGGUUUCAGGCUUGCUUCUCCAUUGUUCUGCUCUUCCACACACACACUGUCUGUACGCUGUGUCCCCGUGGCAGAGUCAGGCAGGCAGACUGAGGGAGUAGCGGGCUUAUACCCGCCACAAUAAGCUGCUUUAUCAACCCAACGUUAUCCUUGAUUGAAUUUUUCACAAAAGGGAUUCAAGCGUGUCAUCUUCUCCUGAUUGGAUGGAAAUAAUGCCGUAUGCACCUGGGAAGCUGAUUUUAUGAUUUGAUCGUGCAUUUCAGACGGAUUGACUUCAAACGUGACUAAAACAGUCCGAGGCAGUGCAGAUCAACCUGCUAUGAUAAUAUUCGCAAUUUCCCUUUGUAUCCGGAUUUGUAUUCUGUUUGGGUAUUUUAAUGCGGUCUGCAGCAUUCGCUACCUUUAAACGCUCAUGAAUUAAGACGAGAGCUACUCCUCUGCUGACACCUCACGUGAUUAUAAUUUUAACUCCAAGUUUUUUUCCCCUUAAUGGAGCAUAAUGGAGCACAUUUGGCACAUUCAAUUUUGGUGCUCCACUGCUAUUUAGAUACGAGGCUUCGAUCUGACUUGCAAGCUUAAACUUGAGCUACGAGUGCUGUAUGUGGGCAGCUGACUCAACUUACUCCACAACAAGCAGAUGUUUGCCUGAGGGAAACUGUAAAUAUUCUUCGAAAAAACAAGUUUAAAGCUCUUUAUUGCCACCCGCACUUGAAGGUUACUGCCAAACUAAACAUUAAAGAAAAGAUUCUUAUAAAGCCCUCUCUUUAAAGCAACCACACAUACAGUACUGUUGCCUCCGCUACCUGAUUGCUAACAUUUAAAGGGAAACUCCAUAGACACACAGAGCUGACAAUUUUCAUGUAUAUAGAUAGCAGUUAAAGCAACAUAUAUCCAAACACAAACAUUCCUGACACACACAUGGGCAUACCACAUAACAAUCCUCACAUGGAUAUAUUCUUAAUCCGUUGCAAAGAACAACUAAUAUUAGUGCUGCACUGAUGGUCUGAAAGGAGUUGAGACAUCUCAGUGAACAGUAUACGUUGGUACCUCGACUUACAAAAUAAAUUCUGUAAGAAAUUUGUUAACUAGAAAAUUUUGUACGCAGAGACCCCAUUUCAAUGUAAAUGCCCUAAUCCGUUCCGAGCACCCCCAAAAUUCAGACAUGAAUGUUUUCUGAGCAAAUUUUGUAACAAAUGCACGUUACAAUUGGAUUAUUGCACAAUAUAUGAGAGUUGUGCGCAAUGUAAAAAACAAAGAAUAAAGCAUAAAAAUGAUGGUCAUUUAACUUUUAACUGCGUCCUCACCGUUGUUUGCACUCUUUAGUUCAUGUUCUCUCUCUCAGAACUGGUUUUUGCCUGGCAUUUUGUCACAAACCGAUCCAAGAUUGUUUGCUUUUAUCGGCUUUUAACAAUCCUUUGAAAAUGUCGAAGGCAGACAUCAGCAUGGUGAGGAAUUGCCUAACUGAUGAACAAUUUUUCUGGGUGAUUCACAUUUACUUAAAACUAUCGGAACGCCUCUUGGCCCGAGGGGUGAAUGAUGAGGACGUUGCAUAGACACACAUUUAUCUCACAUAUACAUACGGUAGAGGUCCUUCUUAGCCAGGAGGAUGCUUGGUAGUAGCCAACGGCACAGCAGCUAGCUACAACUAUGUUGCAUUCAGGAAACUCCGAGCUGCGAGUCGCACCCCAUACUUGAUGUUUACCUUUCAUAACUUGACAUUUCUUUUAUAACUAGAGGCAAUAUUUUCGUGUUGAGCCGCUUCGUAACUUGAAAAUUUCGUAUGAAGAGACAUUCGUAAAUGUAAUGUAUCCAUUGUAUCUGUCUAUUUGUCUUAUACUGCCCCAACGUGGCCAAUGUGUGUAAACUAAAACCAGUUGAGCGAGUGAAUGAGAAUAUUCUAUGAAAUUAAGUCAUCACUGCAUGCUUUUGCAAAUGUUCUAUUAUACAGUGAUAAUGUAGAAAUAUAUUUAUUUUUUGGGGGGGUGGCCGCGGGGGGCAGGUGGCCUUCUCAUUCACUUCAAUAAGAAAAGAUAAUAUGCGAUGAUUUUUGGGGGGUUAUGGGCGUGGUCAUGGAAUGAAUGAAACCUAUAUCUCAUGGCGACAAUCAAUUUCAUUUGUAGCUUUUCGAUGCUGACAAGUUUAUUAGUAGGUUGAGUGGGGAAAAGGGAUUGGUUCUACUGCCUGGUAGGGCCUUCUUAGGAAUGAGAUGAUGGUUCUUUAAUAAAAAUAAUAAUAAUUAUAAUGAUAGUUAUAUUCCAAUAAUUUGACUUUUUAAAAUAUAUUUCGCUGUUUUAUAUUUUUAGGGACUCGGGGAUGGUGAGGUUGGUUCCUUGCACUACAUAGGGCUGGAAACAAUGUGCAUCAUUGUCUCACGAGGAUGUUAUUUUUCGCUGGAUUCAUGCCAUUAUUAUGGCUGGACAUAUACAUGAUCACAUAAUUAUCACUGUUUCAACGCAAGACAGUUACUUAGCCUGAUAUUAGUCCUUUUAGAACGGAUCUUUGUUCAAACGACACGUUAGAAGGUACCCGUCCAUGACCAGCAGGUGUACGAGUGGAGGCGAUGAGUUAGUCACUGCUAUUCAGUGAAAUGAUUAUGUUGGAUUGCACUUGAACUUGAAUAGGGGAAGCGACACGUGGAGUGCGGCUUUUAUGAAUGUCGAUAUCGCAAUAUGUGUGCGUGGUACUAGUAAUAUGUGUGCGCUAUUGCUCUUUGUGUCAACUUUACGGUCACCAUGCUGCAGUUUCUUUUCUUUUUUUUUUAGCCACACCCUUUGUACUUAGUGCGUCGUCUCUUCCGCAGACAAGAAGGAAAGGCGCUCUGUCAUGAAUAAGUAGCUCGCAUUGUUGGACUUUUUGACUUGGCUUUAAAGGGUAGCGGUGCCCCCUUUGUUUGUGUGAAUCGAAGAGGUCUCCUGUUCACCGUCCCUUACAUGCGCAUUGGCUGGAGCAGCAAGAUGGCGUUUGGAUGCCAAUGUUUGCUUAUGGAAAACUAGUAUUAAGGGUUUCAUUGUCUACUGUUGUUGUUGUUUUUUUUUUUUCAUAUUCAAGAUAAGCAUUUAAAUAAAUCAAACCUACCAUGCAACAGGAUUGCGGGGUUAGCCUGAAAUUUUAUGAUGGAAUUCGCUGCUACAGUAUGAAGUUUGUUCUUGUGUUUAUAUAGGGCAAUAAAAAAGUAGUGAAAAUGGAUCAUGAGCGACUAGAUCGUGCUAGCAGAUUAUUCGGGCUGCGCUCGCCUCAUUUGUUCAAGCGUAGAGAGAUUACAACAACAAAAUAGACUCACACAUGUGAAUGUCCCUCGGCUCCUGAGCAGUUGCCGAGGGUCCGUGGUGUUGCCCUUCACAUGGUGUUGGGUUUAAUUUAAUCAUCGUGUCGGAAAAUUGCUGUGUUCACAGAAACAUCGGUCAAAAGGCGAAAAGAAAUUGCGGAUGAUUAAUAGCGUUUGGGCUGGGUGAGUACGGAGAUGUCAUCAGCCUUGGCUGAGUCUCUCUCCACAAAGACAUUAUAUGAACGGUGUUUCAUGUGGCUUCUUUUAUUGUAACUGCUCUGGCCUUUAUUUGAAGGACACAUCAGCGGAGUAUUUGAAAAUGAUGAUUGGAAGCAAUAAUGUCGUGUCUGAUUCGAGGCAUUUUGAAAAACAAAAAGCAACUGAUUGUUUUCCUUGUGGUCAUUUCAUUUUCAUCUCCCUUCAAGUAUUUUGCCGUAAAAUGUGAGUUUUGAAAAUAUUGAUCAUCCGACCACUCAUGUAUUGUGAGUGUGUCUUUAUGGCACUUUGCUGUCACAUUUAAGCAAGAUUCAAGUAUUGCAAGUCCACCACUUUUAAAGUGCCCCCUGGUUUUGGGUUUCAUGUAUGUUUCCUAUCACCUCCAGGUGGGGACGUCAUGCUGGACUCCCUCUGUUUCUGCAUCAAAUGAAACAGUUGCUGUUUUUUGUUUUUGUUUUUUCCAGGAGCAAAAUAAACAUUUAUAGCAAGUUACCUAAUUGAAGAAAGAUGACACAAACUACUGUUAUUCGACGUACUUGGCGUCAGAGACAAUGAUAUAUGUUUUAACAGCCGUCACUUUAUGGAGUGGAUGUCUAUUUUAAUGUUGUUAUUUUGAAGCAAGCCCAUCAUAUCUUUCAUGUCUGCAGAUGAACCCUUUCAGAGACAUCGGUUACUACAGUGGAUAAUUUAUCGUGUUAUCAGGUUACAUGGUGCAUGAGAGGGUUAAUGCUCUUCUUGUCAAACGAUAGUCAUGUGUUGGUAAAGUUCCAGAUUGUUUUUGGCAACAGUACACACAGGAGAAUACACUGACUAUAAUUAUGGAAAAGUUAAAAAACAAAACACUAUAAUUAAAUUAAAUUAUUGAAAACCUGGGCUCACCCCCACUCACUCAAUUUUUUUCAGAUUUAUAUUUAUUUAAAUACUUUUGUCUUCUAGUUUCUCCCUUUCACAAUUUUGCUGCUGUAAAUUGGGAAUUUCUCCAUUGAGAGACAAAUAAAGGUUUUCUUAUCUUAGUGAUGAAUAUUAAUGGUGGAUAAAGAGUGUUGUGUGGUAUAGAUAAAUGAAACCAAGGUGAAUAAUAUUUCAGAACUUUUCCACCAUUGAUGGAAUCUAUUACCAUGACAACUCGAUUGAAAAUGAAAAAAAAAAAACUUUUUGAAAAGGCAAGUAAAAAUGAACAACUGAGAUAAUACAGUUGAACAUGUUUCAUAUCCUAGGAUAAAUAUUAACGUCAAAAGGAUCUACUUUACUUUUACGGCACCAUAAAUUUUUUUCCAAAAUGUGUUUGGGACAAAUUGUUACGAUCCAAUGAAACCGAGGUUGAACUUUUUGACUAUCAUUCCAAAAAGUAUAUUUGGUGCAAAUAACACUGCUCACCACCAAAAGAAUGUUUUGACCGACAGUGACGCAUGAUGGUCUUUCGUAUUCGACAAAGUUGAAGGAAUUAUGAACAGCUCCAAAUACCAAGAAGUGGUAGCACAAAACCAUCAGGCUCGUGCCCGAUAGCAAUGAACAAUUGUCAGGAAAAGCCUACUAGAACAUCCGAACUUAUAUGGAGUUAAUCAGGGACACUUAAAUGGUGGACGGUGUGUCCCGAUUUUGAACACAACCACAUACCAGUUUUUAAACAGUGUUUACACUGGUGAACUUAUUUUUACUUCCGAUCCACGUCAAAAGUUACAGUUGUCAUGGUGUUACACCUACGUUUAUAGGAAGUAAAAUAAACAUUUGAGUUUUUAGUUUUUCUUGAGAGGUUUUUGCAAAUGUGACCCAAUUAGAUCAAAACAAACUAGGCUGCAACAUUAGCAAGGAGUUGGCCAAGUGAUUUUUCUGAUGGGAGCCUGAACAUGUUAAAAUGACCUCUGCAAAUCAUCACAAAUGUAAAAAAACAGAAUCAGAAUGCGUCUCUUAAUUUGGUUGUUAACUUCCCUUUAAUUUGGCAUGUUUUCCAUUUGAGUUUAGUGGUCAAAUCAAAUUCUGCCUGUUUAUCACAGAAAACGGUCAAGGUGAAUUCAGGUAUUUCUCAACCCCACCCCCCACCCCCUUCCCCACACACUGAUGUGCCAUUUGAAUUAUUUAUAGAAUCUCUGGAUCUAUUUAUACACCCUUUGAGUGUCUAGCAGCUCUGACAAGAUUGCGUUUUAAACUUCAAUUCAACUCUUUGUUAAAGCAUGCUUCAUUGGCUCCAGAGUUGUCACGGGGAACUUUUUUGAUAAGAGAGGGGUUAUUAAUGUCACUAAAUAUAGCAACAAAAAUCACUAAACUGCCAACACUAAGACAAUAUUCCACACAAUCAUUUGAUUGAGUUCCUCUUUUAUUUGAUCAGGGCUCUCAUUGCUUCCCUUGAGCAGACCGACUUGAGUAGUGGAUGUGCAAAAUUGAAGCUAGCGGCCUAACAAACUUUUUGGUUUUAUUUUCAGGUCAAAAUACAAACCUCGAUGCUCUUGUGAUGCUUAGCAAAUGUAUGGUACAAACGGUCCUGUCUCCACAUUUACAACCUAAACACAGAGCACACGGAAUGCUGCUAACUAGAUAUUCCUGAUCCUAAUUUUCGGUUAAAUUAAGACAGGAGUCCUUGUUGUUGAGAGAUGUUGCGAAUGAAUGUCUUUUUCUGCUGUCCAUUUAUUCUCAACCCAUUUCUCUCCAAUGCCUCACUUUGACCUACCUCGUCUGCACUUCUUCUCAACAACAACAUUAAAUAGCCGAUUGAGUGGUUCCAUAUUUGCAACAUUUUAAAGUGCACUUAAAAAAUAAAAUGUCCAUUAUGUGAAAGAAAUGUUUAUGUGAUUACUGUCAUUUGCCUCCAAAACGUUUUAAAUGUGGUGGGAAAUAUUUUCCCUAGUUUUUAACAAAAAUUAUGUUCAUGUUCAUUUUUUGUCUCUUGCUGUCGCCAUCCAUCCAUCGCCUGCGUGCAACGCCAGUAAAACCAUGUUGAGAUUUGGCACACACACGCACACACACAUACACGCAAGAGCUCGGCAGGCAAAUGUAGGCCAAAAGCCAUCUGAGGAUGGGGCUCAGUGAAAGAGGGAGCAAGACAGGCGACAAGAAGACUAUUCGAGAAUGACAUUCAUCUGGGAGAUGGUAGAGGCAGUUAAGACUUUUAUACUUGUACUAAUAUGAUACACUAUAUAAUCGUAACGCUAUUUGGUACAGGAUCAAGCCCCAGAAAGGAUGAACUGGAAAAGAAGCAAAUACAAAAAUUGGGGGGAGCAGUUUUUAUUAGGGUCAGCUUGUCCAUCGAUUUGUUGAACAUGCUACUUGAGGUUCCAUUAGGGUCCAGGAGGUUGCAUUGACACCACAAUGACUGAGAUGGAUAGAAAAAUUACCUUUCUGUCUUUUGUCCACAUUAUCACACGUUUUUGCUCCUGAUCUCUUAGGCCAGUGGCAUGCUUAUGACUGGUGAGGCACUGACUCCUCUGGCAUUAGAAAUAAAAAUAUCAACCCAAUAUAUAAGAUUAGACUAUACUUUACUUUAAAAAUGCAAAUGAUUAGAUAUUUUAUUCAGAUUUGUUCUAUUGUAUUCAGUGUUUAUUAACGUUUGUUUGGUUUUUUUACCUCUUUUAAUACACUUCUAAAGGGGCACCAUUAGUUGCACGAAGCACAUCAAGACGGUCCUGGAUUUCUUGCCAUGUUCGCUGUAGCAUAGCCUCAUCAAUUGUGGCAAUGGCAUCAGUAAUUCUUUGCUUUAGGUCAGCAACGUCCCUUAUCUUUUUUCGACACACGAUAUCUUUAACAUAGCCCCAUAGAAAGAAAAAGAAGUCCAGGGGAGUGAUAUCUUGUGAACGUGGCGGACAAGGAAUUGGCCCAUCCCUCCCAAUCCACCGGUCUGGAAAUGUUUGAUUGAGGAACCCACGAACAUGCAGCCCCCAAGGUAGUGUCGGUGCACUACCUUGCUAAAAAAUGAUAGUUGGUUGAAGGUCAGUCAGUUGUGGUGCCACAUAUUCAGUUCAAAGGUCAAGGUCAACAUUUGCAGAAAUUAAUGUCUCAUUGAAGAAAAAUUUACCAAUUAUCCGAUUGCACAUGAUCCUACACCACACAUUCACCUUUGGGCAGUGUGAUUAAAAAAACUUUAACACCGAAUACAAUAGAAAAAAAAAUCUGAAUAAAAUAUCUAAACAAUUGCAUUUUUUAAUACAUUUUUGAAAUAGUAAAGAGACUUUAUGGACACCCUGUAUUUUAAAUUUGCCCUUUACUGACACCUACCUCAUCCAUCCAUCCCUCUUGACGAGGGUCACGGGUGUGCUGGAGCCUAAGCAUCAUCGGGCAGUACGCGAGUUAUCUCCAUACAAGUGAUUGGAAGAGGACGAGCCGAGCUCUGAGACAGUGCUACCAAAUCGCUAUGGAAAGAGCGGCACGCUUCUUCGACGCAUUGCACCAGUGGACUGCACUGCCAUCUGUCGUCAACGGGAAGGUGUGGGAGUGGCCAGAGAGGCACAAGGGGUGAUCAUGGCCCCCACGUAGCUCCGUCCCCGAUAAGGAGGUUGCCGAAUUCCAUCCUGAUGAUCUUUUUUGGUUUUUCUUUUGUUUGAAUUGCCAUAACACAUCUGAACUAUGCCAUUUGGGAGCAAAAAUGUAAAUUGUCUGUGUUGAACCACAAAGUGUAAAUCCAGCCUAAGACUGAAAGUAAUGCAGUUUGUUUAAAAGUGAAAAUGUAAACUUUGAUAUCAGCUAUGCCUUACGGUUCUCAUGUAGAGUGAGAAGUAGCGUUUAUUGUUAUUAGUCGUCUGAGUUUUGACCUCACUGGCUCCUUCCUUCCUUAAGUUUACACAGCGGUUUGCAUAUAAUAGCCUCUAGUUGCCAUAGAAACAAGAUGUUAGUACUGUUUUCCUUCUCUCUGCAGGAAAAAGACAGUUGAAUGUGAACUCUGCGCCCUCGUUUCAUUUCAUCUCUCCUCACAGUCACCUCCAGAUCCUCUUUUCCUCAUCGCCUGACACCCUGUUUUCAUUUUUCCUUUUCUUAUACCCUCGGCCGCCUUACUUCCCCGAGUUUAAUCCGCGCUCGCUGAGCUGCUGAUUGCUGCGCAUGCACGGCAAGGGGUCACUAUGAGUUUAUGCUUGUAUUUACAGUGCUUGUUGCUGUCAGAUCUGGAAAAUGUGGUUUGGUCGAAACACAAUUAUCGAAUGACAACUGAGGCCCGCUUCCUUCACACCCUGCUCACGUACCAUCAGAAGUGCCUCGAUUCACAUGUCCAUGCUAUUAUUAUAUGGUCGGCACCGCCAUCCACGACGGCCUGAGAGCCUUCUUGUCACUAAAGUUUUAGGAGAAACUUUGAUGGUUCUCUUCAGCAGCACAUAAUGUAUCAUCAAAGCUGGGAUUAAACAUUUUUUUUUCUUCUUCUGUCUUUUAUUCAUGGUCUAGGCUGUCGGAAGAGUUGAGCUGGAAGAUUUAAGCUUAUUAGCUCAAAGAACAGGGGAAGGGAGUUUUGAACUGAUGUAUGGCAAACUUCAAAGAUGGCUUAAUCGCUGUACACAUGCCCUAUACAGGCUAUUUAUACUGAGAAGAAAUGUUUCUUCCAAAAGACUUCCUCUUGCCACCCUAAAGCAGCCCCGGUUAUUAUUGUUGCGAGUAUGUCUAGAGAGACGAGACUUGCCCGCUAAUGUUAAUUUGACAACAGGACCUUCCUUCGUCACAAUCUUUGCCACAUGCUGUCAAUAUCAAUUAGAUCUGCUUUUAUUCAGAUUUUUUGGUCACACAAAGGUCGCUCGUAUAAUAUGGCUCCGAUAUCUUAACGUGUUAACUGUGAAAAGGGAUAUUGGUGACUUGCCCCUUUAUUGCUUUUGAUUAAUUGAUUGUCCCCAAAUGGAAAAAAAAGGUUGAAAAAAACCUCACAAAAACUUUACAGGUUUUGCAAUGUCCUGAUGCAUCAAGCGUAUUUUAUAUAUAUAUAUAUAUAUAUAUAUAUAUAUAUAUAUAUAUAUAUAUAUAUAUAUAUAUAUAUAUGCAUACACACACACACACACAGGGUCAGGCAAAAUGAUCUGAUAUAUUUGUAGGUUAAAUAAAAGGCAAAGAAAGUAAAGAAACCAAAAAAGUGUUUUUAUUUUCAAAAAGUACAUGUAAUGCCAUUCUGUUUCACUAUGUUUUAAAAAUAGUUACUAACCCAUAACAAGAUCGGGUUUCGAGCUGGUACGGGAUCAUGUCUACCAAUAUUGAAGUGCAAACAGAACGCUCAUUGUGUUGCAGUUACAGAUUUGUUUGUUUUGAUAAACGUUUCCGCAAUGAAAGCGCCGCCAAUCCAAUUCAUGGCAGCAACUGAAAAAGAAACAA
Hippocampus zosterae (dwarf seahorse) is the source of this 17492-nucleotide long non-coding RNA. RefSeq lists it as uncharacterized. The record is from RefSeq and is a predicted model, not a curated record. The transcript has 3 exons. NCBI's taxonomy places the organism in Eukaryota, Metazoa, Chordata, Actinopteri, Syngnathiformes, Syngnathidae.